CCUACGGGUGGCAGCAGUGGGGAAUAUUGGGCAAUGGGCGCAAGCCUGACCCAGCAACGCCGCGUGAAGGAAGAAGGCUUUCGGGUUGUAAACUUCUUUUCUCAGGGACGAAGCAAGUGACGGUACCUGAGGAAUAAGCCACGGCUAACUACGUGCCAGCAGCCGCGGUAAUACGGAGGUGGCAAGCGUUAUCCGGAUUUACGGGGUGUAAAGGGCGGAUAGGCGGGACUGCAAGUCAGAUGUGAAAACCACGGGCUCAACCUGUGGCCUGCAUUUGAAACUGUAGUUCGUGAGUACUAGAGAGUCAGACGGAAUUCCUAGUGUAGCGGUGAAAUGCGUAGAUAUUAGGAGGAACACCAGUGGCGAAGGCGGUCUGCUGGACAGCAACUGACGCUGAGGCGCGAAAGCGUGGGGAGCAAACAGGAUUAGAUACCCUUGUAGUC
RNAcentral lists this ribosomal RNA (443 nucleotides) under uncultured bacterium. Its description in RNAcentral is "partial 16S ribosomal RNA". It matches the Rfam family "Bacterial small subunit ribosomal RNA", at positions 338 to 795 of the family's 1533-position model. The record is from RNAcentral.